GCGUGGAGGAUGAAGGUCUUCGGAUUGUAAACUCCUGUUGCUCGGGACGAAAAGCUUCGACCUAACACGUCGAGGUCUGACGGUACCGAGUGAGGAAGCCCCGGCUAACUCUGUGCCAGCAGCCGCGGUAAUACAGAGGGGGCAAGCGUUGUUCGGAAUUACUGGGCGUAAAGGGCGCGUAGGCGGCCUGCUAAGUCGAACGUGAAAUCCCUGGGCUCAACCCAGGAACUGCGUCCGAUACUGGUUGGCUUGAAUCCGGGAGAGGGAUGUGGAAUUCCAGGUGUAGCGGUGAAAUGCGUAGAUAUCUGGAGGAACACCGGUGGCGAAGGCGACAUCCUGGACCGGUAUUGACGCUGAGGCGCGAAAGCCAGGGGAGCAAACGGGAUUAGAUACCCCGGUAGUCCUGGCCCUAAACGAUGAAUGCUUGGUGUGGCGGGUAUCGAUCCCUGCCGUGCCGAAGCUAACGCAUUAAGCAUUCCGCCUGGGGAGUACGGUCGCAAGGCUG
Molecule: ribosomal RNA, 505 nt
Filed under: uncultured Acidobacteriota bacterium
Lineage: Bacteria; Pseudomonadati; Acidobacteriota
Description: bacterial SSU rRNA
Rfam family: Bacterial small subunit ribosomal RNA
Source: RNAcentral